GGGUGAGUAACACGUGGAUAACCUACCUAUAAGACUGGGAUAACUUCGGGAAACCGGAGCUAAUACCGGAUAAUAUUUUGAACCGCAUGGUUCAAAAGUGAAAGACGGUCUUGCUGUCACUUAUAGAUGGAUCCGCGCUGCAUUAGCUAGUUGGUAAGGUAACGGCUUGCCAAGGCAACGAUGCAUAGCCGACCUGAGAGGGUGAUCGGCCACACUGGAACUGAGACACGGUCCAG
RNAcentral lists this ribosomal RNA (236 nucleotides) under uncultured Staphylococcus sp. RNAcentral describes it as "partial 16S ribosomal RNA". It matches the Rfam family "Bacterial small subunit ribosomal RNA", at positions 104 to 334 of the family's 1533-position model. Lineage: Bacteria; Bacillati; Bacillota; Bacilli; Caryophanales; Staphylococcaceae. The record is from RNAcentral.